GCCGAUGUAGCUCAGUGGUAGAGUACUUCCUUGGUAAGGAAGGGGUCACGAGUUCAAUUCUCGUCAUCGGCU
RNAcentral lists this transfer RNA (72 nucleotides) under Acetobacteroides hydrogenigenes. RNAcentral's name for it is "Bacteroidetes bacterium RL-C tRNA". It matches the Rfam family "tRNA". Rfam says of the family: Transfer RNA (tRNA) molecules are approximately 80 nucleotides in length. Lineage: Bacteria; Pseudomonadati; Bacteroidota; Bacteroidia; Bacteroidales; Rikenellaceae. The record is from Rfam by way of RNAcentral. RNAcentral also lists the same sequence under 1 other name.